ACGGAAGGCAGCAGUGGGGAAUAUUGGACAAUGGGCGCAAGCCUGAUCCAGCAAUGCCGCGUGGGUGAAGAAGGUCUUCGGAUUGUAAAGCCCUUUCGACAGGGACGAUGAUGACGGUACCUGUAGAAGAAGCCCCGGCUAACUUCGUGCCAGCAGCCGCGGUAAUACGAAGGGGGCUAGCGUUGCUCGGAAUUACUGGGCGUAAAGGGCGCGUAGGCGGUCUGCCAAGUCAGGCGUGAAAUUCCUGGGCUUAACCUGGGGGCUGCGCUUGAGACUGGUGGGCUAGAGGACGGAAGAGGGUCGUGGAAUUCCCAGUGUAGAGGUGAAAUUCGUAGAUAUUGGGAAGAACACCGGUGGCGAAGGCGGCGACCUGGUCCGUUACUGACGCUGAGGCGCGACAGCGUGGGGAGCAAACAGGAUUAGAUACCCUGGUA
Molecule: ribosomal RNA, 434 nt
Filed under: uncultured Rhodospirillales bacterium
Lineage: Bacteria; Pseudomonadati; Pseudomonadota; Alphaproteobacteria; Rhodospirillales
Description: bacterial SSU rRNA
Rfam family: Bacterial small subunit ribosomal RNA
Source: RNAcentral